AGUGAACGCUGGCGGUAGGCCUAACACAUGCAAGUCGAACGACCGCACAGUAAGCGCUUUCUCUUACGGGUGGCGAGUGACGGACGGGUGAGAAAUACAUCGGCAUCUACUUUUUCUUGGGGAAAAUCGGGGGAAAGUUACUAUUACAGCGUAAAAUGCCGAACGGCAUAAUUCAGGAGUUCUAGAAGCUUUUGCUGUUACAUUAAGAGGGAUCCGCGCCGCAUUAGCUAGUUGGUAAGGUAACGGCACACCAAGGCAACGAUGCGUAGCUGGUCUGAGAGGAUGAUCAGCCACACUGGAACUGAGACACGGUCCAGACUCCUACGGGAGGCAGCAGUAGGGAAUAUUGGACAAUGGGCGCAAGCCUGAUCGAGCCAUACCGCGUGGGUGAAGAAGGUCUUCGGGUUGUAAAACUCUGUUGUUAGGGAAGAAAAGCAGCAUAAGAAUCUCCCCAUGUUCUGACGGUACCCAAACAAUAAGCACCGGCUAACUUCGUG
This 497-nucleotide ribosomal RNA is filed under the name uncultured bacterium. RNAcentral describes it as "partial 16S ribosomal RNA". It matches the Rfam family "Bacterial small subunit ribosomal RNA", at positions 29 to 507 of the family's 1533-position model. The record is from RNAcentral.